GGACUAACCCUAGGGGAGGAGGUGGAACAGGUCAAUGCCUUCCUCUCUCGGAUAGCAGUGACCACAAAACACAUGUCAAAAGCAGGACGUACAGACAUGCUGACGCUGAUGGCCAUGCGCUGGAAUCAGCAAAAAGUCAGCAACUUGGCCACCUCACUGUCCCGCAGAUAUCUGAAGACCACAAAAGCUCUGGAAAAGCAAUUGCAGAACCUGGAGUCCAUGAAGGCUGAGUUGGCAGUGACUGAAAAGCAGCUGGAAGACUGGGUCAGAGAUGUGAAU
Trematomus bernacchii (emerald rockcod) is the source of this 279-nucleotide long non-coding RNA. RefSeq lists it as uncharacterized. Lineage: Eukaryota; Metazoa; Chordata; Actinopteri; Perciformes; Nototheniidae. The transcript has 3 exons. The record is from RefSeq and is a predicted model, not a curated record.